CGGGGGGCUGCAGCAAGGAAUCUUCCGCAAUGGGCGAAAGCCUGACGGAGCAACGCCGCGUGUGGGAUGACGCCUUUCGGGGUGUAAACCACUUUUCUCAGGGAAGAAGCACUGACGGUACCUGAGGAAGAAGGACCGGCUAACUACGUGCCAGCAGCCGCGGUAAUACGUAGGGUCCGAGCGUUGUCCGGAGUUACUGGGCGUAAAGCGCGCGCAGGCGGCGGUGUAAGCAUGGCGUGAAAGCCCCUGGCUUAACCAGGGAGGGUCGUCGUGGACUGCACCGCUUGAGGGCGGUAGGGGCUGGUGGAAUGCCUGGUGUAGUGGUGAAAUGCGUAGAGAUCAGGCGGAACACCCGUGGCGAAGGCGGCCAGCUGGGCCGUCCCUGACGCUGAGGCGCGAAGGCGUGGGGAGCGAACGGGAUUAGAUACCCGAGUAGUC
Molecule: ribosomal RNA, 438 nt
Filed under: uncultured Thermomicrobia bacterium
Lineage: Bacteria; Pseudomonadati; Thermomicrobiota; Thermomicrobia
Description: bacterial SSU rRNA
Rfam family: Bacterial small subunit ribosomal RNA
Source: RNAcentral